UGUGCCAAAUACGGCUAAGGUAAUCUACUCCUGGGGUAAGAAAAUCCUUAGUUUUUCGAAAAAUUCACAUUUUUGUAAACAGAAAAUUUAUAAAAAUGACCAUAUAAUUGAUAUUCAUGUCAACACCGAAGUGCUGACUACUGGGCUGGUGAUACCCUCGGGGACGAAACGUCCACCAGCAGUGGCAUCGACCCAGUGGUGUAAAUAGUUAUCAAAAGUACCAGGAUUAUAAUUUUAUACGCCAGACGUGCGUUUCGUCUACAUAAGACUCAUCAGUGACGCUCAGAUCAAAAUAGUUAAAAAGCCAAACAAAUACAAAGUUGAAGAGCAUUGAAGACCCAAAAUU
Molecule: long non-coding RNA, 346 nt
Filed under: Mytilus galloprovincialis (Mediterranean mussel)
Lineage: Eukaryota; Metazoa; Mollusca; Bivalvia; Mytilida; Mytilidae
Source: RNAcentral